CGGGAAGUAGCUCAGCUUGGUAGAGCACUUGGUUUGGGACCAAGGGGUCGCAGGUUCGAAUCCUGUCUUCCCGAUAA
This 77-nucleotide transfer RNA is filed under the name Enterococcus faecalis PC1.1. Its description in RNAcentral is "tRNA-Pro". It matches the Rfam family "tRNA". From Rfam's summary of the family: Transfer RNA (tRNA) molecules are approximately 80 nucleotides in length. Their secondary structure includes four short double-helical elements and three loops (D, anti-codon, and T loops). Further hydrogen bonds mediate the characteristic L-shaped molecular structure. tRNAs have two regions of fundamental functional importance: the anti-codon, which is responsible for specific mRNA codon recognition, and the 3' end, to which the tRNAs corresponding amino acid is attached (by aminoacyl-tRNA synthetases). tRNAs cope with the degeneracy of the genetic code in two manners: having more than one tRNA (with a specific anti-codon) for a particular amino acid; and 'wobble' base-pairing, i.e. permitting non-standard base-pairing at the 3rd anti-codon position. The record is from RNAcentral. Lineage: Bacteria; Bacillati; Bacillota; Bacilli; Lactobacillales; Enterococcaceae.